This 77-nucleotide transfer RNA is filed under the name Coprobacillus cateniformis. RNAcentral describes it as "tRNA-Gln". It matches the Rfam family "tRNA". From Rfam's summary of the family: Transfer RNA (tRNA) molecules are approximately 80 nucleotides in length. Their secondary structure includes four short double-helical elements and three loops (D, anti-codon, and T loops). Lineage: Bacteria; Bacillati; Bacillota; Erysipelotrichia; Erysipelotrichales; Coprobacillaceae. The record is from RNAcentral.
AUCAGGGUGGUGAAACUGGUAAGCACAUGGGACCUUGACUCCCACAUUUAGAGGUUCGAGCCCUCUCCCUGAUGCCA